AGAGUUUGAUCCUGGCUCAGAUUGAACGCUGGUGGCAUGCUUAACACAUGCAAGUCGAACGGUAACAGGUCUUCGGAUGCUGACGAGUGGCGGACGGGUGAGUAACGCGUAGGAAUCUGCCCAUCUGUGGGGGAUACCAGUUGGAAACGACUGUUAAUACCGCAUAAUAUCUGCGGAUUAAAGGUGGCCUUUGCGCUGCCGCAGAUGGAUGAGCCUGCGUUGGAUUAGCUAGUUGGUGGGGUAAGGGCCUACCAAGGCUACGAUCCAUAGCUGAUUUGAGAGGAUGAUCAGCCACAUUGGGACUGAGACACGGCCCAAACUCCUACGGGAGGCAGCAGUGGGGAAUAUUGGACAAUGGGGGAAACCCUGAUCCAGCAAUGCCAUGUGUGUGAAGAAGGCUCUAGGGUUGUAAAGCACUUUAGUUGGGGAGGAAAGCCUGUGAGUUAAUAGCUUGCAGGAAGGACGUUGCCCAAAGAAUAAGGACCGGCUAACUCCGUGCCAGCAGCCGCGGUAAUACGGGGGGUCCGAGCGUUAAUCGGAAUUACUGGGCGUAAAGGGUCUGUAGGUGGUUUGUUAAGUCAGAUGUGAAAGCCCAGGGCUCAACCUUGGAACUGCAUUUGAUACUGACAAACUAGAGUAUGGUAGAGGAAUAGGGAACUUCUGGUGUAGCGGUGAAAUGCGUAGAGAUCAGAAGGAACACCAAUGGCGAAGGCAACAUUCUGGACCAAUACUGACACUGAGGGACGAAAGCGUGGGGAUCAAACAGGAUUAGAUACCCUGGUAGUCCACGCUGUAAACGAUGAGUACUAGCUGUUGGAUUCGGUGUAAAGGAUCUAGUGGCGCAGCUAACGCGUUAAGUACUCCGCCUGGGGACUACGGCCGCAAGGCUAAAACUCAAAGGAAUUGACGGGGACCCGCACAAGCGGUGGAGCAUGUGGUUUUAAUUCGAUGCAACGCGAAGAACCUUACCUGGUCUUGACAUCCUGCGAACUUUCUAGAGAUAGAUUGGUGCCUUCGGGAACGCAGUGACAGGUGCUGCACGGCUGUCGUCAGCUCGUGUUGUGAAAUGUUGGGUUAGUCCCGCAACGAGCGCAACCCCUAUUGAUAGUUACCAUCAUUAAGUUGGGUACUCUAUUGAGACUGCCGCUGACAAGGCGGAGGAAGGUGGGGACGACGUCAAGUCAUCAUGGCCCUUACGACCAGGGCUACACACGUGCUACAAUGGGUAUUACAGAGGGCUGCGAAGGUGCGAGCUGGAGCGAAACUCAGAAAGGUACUCUUAGUCCGGAUUGCAGUCUGCAACUCGACUGCAUGAAGUCGGAAUCGCUAGUAAUCGCAGGUCAGAAUACUGCGGUGAAUACGUUCCCGGGUCUUGUACACACCGCCCGUCACACCAUGGGAGUGGGUUGCUCCAGAAGUAGAUAGCUUAACGAAUGGGCGUUUACCACGGAGUGAUUCAUAACUGGGGUGAAGUCGUAACAAGGUAGCCGUAGGGGAACCUGCGGCUGGAUCACCU
Molecule: ribosomal RNA, 1516 nt
Filed under: Francisella orientalis
Lineage: Bacteria; Pseudomonadati; Pseudomonadota; Gammaproteobacteria; Thiotrichales; Francisellaceae
Description: Francisella noatunensis subsp. orientalis 16S ribosomal RNA
Rfam family: Bacterial small subunit ribosomal RNA
Source: RNAcentral